ACCCCAUGGACUGUGGCACUCCAGGUCUCCCUCUCCAUCAUCAACUCCCAAAUUUCACCCAAACCCCUGUCCAACAAGUUGGUGAUGCCAUCCAGCCAUCUCAUCUUCUGUUGCCCCCUUCUCCUCCUGCCCUCAACUGUUCCCAGCAACAGGGUCUUUUCCAGUAAGUCAGCUCUUCCCAACAUGUGGCCAAAGUUUUAGAGCUUCUGUUUCAGUAUUAAUCAUUUCAAUGAACACCCAGGACUGAUCUUUAGGAUGGACUGGUUGGAUCUCCUUGCAGUCCAACGGACUCUCAAGAGUCUUCUCCAACGCCACAGUUCAAAAGUGUCAGUUCUUCAGUGCUCAGCAUUCUUUAUAGUCCAACUCUCACAUCCAUACAUGACUACUGGAAAAACCAUAGCCUUGACUAGAUGGAUGUUUGUUGGCAAAGUAAUGCCUUGGCUUUUGAAUAUGCUAUCUAGGUUGGUCAUAAUUUUCCUCCCAAGGAGUAAGCAUCUUUUAAUUUCUUGGCUGCAAUCACCAUCUGCAGUGAUUUUGGAGCACCAAAAAAAUAAAGUCUGACACUGUUUCCACUGUUUCCCCAUCUAUUUCCCAUGAAGUGAUGGGACCGGAUGCCAUGAUCUUCGUUUUCUGAAUGUUGAGCUUUAAGCCAACUUUUUCACUCUCCUCUUUCACUUUCAUCAAGAGGCUUUUUAGUUCCUCUUCACUUUCUGCCAUAAGGGUGGUGUCAUCUGCAUAUCUGAGGUUAUUGAUAUUUCUCCUGGCAAUCUUGAUUCCAGCUUGUGUUUCUUCCAGUCCAGUGUUUCUCAUGAUGUACUCUGCAUAUAAGUUAAAUAAGCAGGGUGACAAUAUACAGCCUUGACGUACUCCUUUUCCUAUUUGGAACCAGUCUGUUGUUCCAUGUCCAGUUCUAACUGUUGCUUCCUGACCUGCAUACAGAUUUCUCGAGAGGCACGUCAAGUUGUCUGGUAUUCCCAUCUCUUUCAGAAUUUUCCACAGUUUAUUGUGAUCCACACAGUCAAAGGCUUUGGCAUAGUCAAUAAAGCAGAAAUAGAUGUUUUUCUGGAACUCUCUUGCUUGUUGCAUGAUCCAGCAGAUAUUGGCAGUUUGAUCUCUGGUUCCUCUGCCUUUUCUAAAACCAGCUUAAAAGUUCAUGGUUCACGUACUGCUGAAGCCUGGCUUGGAGGAUUUUGAGCAUUACUUUACUAGCAUGUGAGAUGAGUGCAAUUGUGCGGUAGUUUGAGCAUUCUUUGGCAUUGCCUUUCUUUGGAAUUGGAAUGAAAACGAACCUUUUCCAGUCUUGUGGCCACUGCUGAGCUUUCCAAAUUUGCUGGCAUUUUGAGUGCAGCACUUUCACAGCAUCAUCUUUCAAGAUUUGUAAUAAUUUGGAAUUCCAUCAUCUCCACUAGCUAUGUUCACAGUGAUGCUUUCUAAGACCUACUUGACAUCACAAUCCCAGAUGUCUGGCUCUAGGUGAGUGAUCACACCAUCGUGAUUAUUGGUCUUGAAGAUCUUUUCUGUACAGUUCUUCCGUGUAUUCUUGCCACCUCUUCUUCAUAUCUUCUGCUUCUGUUAGGUCCAUACCAUUUCUGUCCUUUAUCGAGCCCAUCUUUGCAUGAAAUGUUCCCUUGCUAUCUUUAAUUUUCUUGAAGUGAUCUCUAGUCUUUCCCAUUCUGUUGUUUUCCUCUAUUUCUUUGCAUUGAU
This 1704-nucleotide long non-coding RNA is filed under the name Ovis aries (sheep). RNAcentral describes it as "lncRNA (ENSOARG00000026267.1)". Lineage: Eukaryota; Metazoa; Chordata; Mammalia; Artiodactyla; Bovidae. The record is from RNAcentral.